UUAACUAUUAGAUAGUACUCAGACGACACUAACAUUCAGAGUUUGGGUUUCCUCUGGCAGACGCGAUCCAGCCGGAGCCGGUGCCCGAAGGCGGCCUGCCAAAGCAACAAAGAUAUAAUACACAAGGGUGGGUGUUUCUACCCGUGAGGGCAGGGACACUGUAAUGAUCCUUCCGCAGGUUCACCUACGGAAA
RNAcentral lists this unclassified non-coding RNA (193 nucleotides) under uncultured fungus. RNAcentral's name for it is "sequence contains ITS1". Lineage: Eukaryota; Fungi. The record is from RNAcentral.